RNAcentral lists this ribosomal RNA (496 nucleotides) under uncultured bacterium. RNAcentral's name for it is "bacterial SSU rRNA". It matches the Rfam family "Bacterial small subunit ribosomal RNA", at positions 33 to 524 of the family's 1533-position model. The record is from RNAcentral.
UGACGCUGGCGGCAGGCCUAACACAUGCAAGUCGAACGGUAACAUUUCUAGCUUGCUAGAAGAUGACGAGUGGCGGACGGGUGAGUAAUGCUUGGGAACUUGCCUUUGCGAGGGGGAUAACAGUUGGAAACGACUGCUAAUACCGCAUAAUGUCUUCGGACCAAACGGGGCUUAGGCUCCGGCGCAAAGAGAGGCCCAAGUGAGAUUAGCUAGUUGGUAAGGUAACGGCUUACCAAGGCGACGAUCUCUAGCUGUUCUGAGAGGAAGAUCAGCCACACUGGGACUGAGACACGGCCCAGACCCCUACGGGAGGCAGCAGUGGGGAAUAUUGCACAAUGGGGGAAACCCUGAUGCAGCCAUGCCGCGUGUGUGAAGAAGGCCUUCGGGUUGUAAAGCACUUUCAGUUGUGAGGAAAAGUUAGUAGUUAAUACCUGCUAGCCGUGACGUUAACAACAGAUGAAGCACCGGCUAACUCCGUGCCAGCAGCCGCGGUAAU